ACCUGUUUAUGCGUGGCUAGUAUUCAGCACCAAGGACAGGCAUAUUUGUGUGUGUGUGUAUAGUGUUCAGCACCAAGGACAGGCAUGUUUGUGU
Molecule: microRNA precursor, 94 nt
Filed under: Branchiostoma floridae (Florida lancelet)
Lineage: Eukaryota; Metazoa; Chordata; Leptocardii; Amphioxiformes; Branchiostomatidae
Description: mir-2060 microRNA precursor family
Rfam family: mir-2060 microRNA precursor family
Source: Rfam by way of RNAcentral